This 428-nucleotide ribosomal RNA is filed under the name uncultured bacterium. Its description in RNAcentral is "partial 16S ribosomal RNA". It matches the Rfam family "Bacterial small subunit ribosomal RNA", at positions 354 to 796 of the family's 1533-position model. The record is from RNAcentral.
GUGGGGAAUAUUGGGCAAUGGGCGAAAGCCUGACCCAGCAACGCCGCGUGAGGGAAGAAGGCCUUCGGGUUGUAAACCUCUGUCCUUGGUGACGAAAAAAAUGACGGUAGCCAAGGAGGAAGCCCCGGCUAACUACGUGCCAGCAGCCGCGGUAAUACGUAGGGGGCGAGCGUUGUCCGGAAUUACUGGGCGUAAAGGGUGCGUAGGUGGCCUUUUAAGUUGGAUGUGAAAUCCCCGGGCUUAACUUGGGUGGUGCAUCUAAUACUGGAGAGCUAGAGUGCAGGAGAGGGAAGGUGAAUUCCGAGGGUAGCGGUGAAAUGCGUGGAUAUUAGGAGGAACACCAGUGGCGAAGGCGGCUUUCUGGACUGUAACUGACACUGAGGCACGAAAGCGUGGGGAGCAAACAGGAUUAGAUACCCGGGUAGUCC